GACGUAGGAGGCGAGCGUUAUCCGGAUUCACUGGGCGUAAAGCGCAUGUAGGCGGAUGUCUAAGUCGUGUGUUAAAGCCCCUGGCUCAACUGGGGGAGGUCAUGCGAGACUGGAUGACUUGAGGGCAACAGAGGCACGUGGAACUCCCGGUGUAGCGGUGGAAUGCGUAGAGAUCGGGAAGAACACCCGUGGCGAAGGCGGCAUCCUGGACCGGGAUUGACACUGAGGCGCGAAAGCCAGGGGAGCAAACGGG
RNAcentral lists this ribosomal RNA (253 nucleotides) under uncultured bacterium. RNAcentral's name for it is "partial 16S ribosomal RNA". It matches the Rfam family "Bacterial small subunit ribosomal RNA", at positions 524 to 776 of the family's 1533-position model. The record is from RNAcentral.